RNAcentral lists this RNase P RNA (374 nucleotides) under Boudabousia marimammalium. RNAcentral's name for it is "Actinomyces marimammalium Bacterial RNase P class A". It matches the Rfam family "Bacterial RNase P class A". From Rfam's summary of the family: Ribonuclease P (RNase P) is a ubiquitous endoribonuclease, found in archaea, bacteria and eukarya as well as chloroplasts and mitochondria. Lineage: Bacteria; Bacillati; Actinomycetota; Actinomycetes; Actinomycetales; Actinomycetaceae. The record is from Rfam by way of RNAcentral.
UGAGUCGUCCAGACGGUCGCGUCAGCACUUCGUGUUGCCGAGGAACGUCCGGGCUCCACAGAGCGCGAUGGUGGUUAACAGCCACCCGGGGUGACCCGCGAGAUAGUGCCACAGAAAACAGACCGCCUCUUCCUAUACCUUCGGCAGGGGUAAGGGUGAAACGGUGGUGUAAGAGACCACCGGGAGUCAGGUGACUGGCUUCGCACGGUAAACCUCAUCGGGAGCAAGACCAAACAGUGAAUGUAAGCUGCUCGCCUAGUUCACGGGUAGGUUGCUUGAGACCUGUGGUAACACAGGCCCUAGAGAAAUGGCCGUCAUUCGAAUACCGGUAACGGUACCGAAUACAGAACCCGGCGUAUCGGGCGACUCAUCCC